Homo sapiens (human) is the source of this 4319-nucleotide long non-coding RNA. RefSeq lists it as uncharacterized. Lineage: Eukaryota; Metazoa; Chordata; Mammalia; Primates; Hominidae. The record is from RefSeq and is a predicted model, not a curated record. The transcript is spliced from 2 exons.
UCGUGAUCCGCCCGCCUUGGCCUCCCAAAGUGCUUGGAUUACAGGCGUGAGCCACCGCACCCGGCCUGAAUAUCUGUUUUAAUUAAGGAAUAACCAUGUGAGAAAUAAUUUAGAGAUACUUCACAUAGAGAUAGUUCCAUUUCUAGGAAUCUAUUUAGAUAGAAAUUGUGUUACAUAUAUCUCAUAGGAAGAAAAUGUAUGUGUAAGCAAAUAAUUACAACAAAUGAGAUGUAAUUUUUAAAAUAAAAUAUUUGUAACUGAAGUAACACAGAUUAGAACUAUUUAACUAUAGGCAGCUUUCUAAUUAGGAAUGGUCUGAACUAGAAGUACUGUUAUUAAAGCUGGUAGCUAUAUCCAUAUCAUGCAAUAUUAGUAGUAUUAGGAAUACAUUGAAAACUCAGUUUUCCAGCUGAAGAUACAGACAGUGCACUGGAAUAUUAGAACCGGAAUUUUUCUAAGGGUCCAUUGAUAACAGUCCUACUCUUUCUUUCUCAUCUGGCCUAUAAUAAUGCUGCCUUCUAGAAUGUUGAUUAGUUUUUUUUUCUAAAAUGUCAGACAGUACACCGAGAGAUGUUAUAUAAUUGAACAUUAAGAGAAAUAUAAUCUUAUAUCUCUGUAUUUCAUAAAAUAGGGCUAUAAUUAUAAAAUGGAUAAAUAUGAACAAUGAAUUUAUUUUAAAAAUCAAAAGAUACAUUUAUGUAAACAAGGUGUUCCUUUUUUCUUGAAUUUGAAAUUAUCUUUGCUAAUAUUCUUCCAAAUAAUUAUCCCAUAUAAUUUUUACUAAUUGUUGAUUCAUUUUAUUUUUCUUAUUAGAGUUUAUUUGCAAUAUUGUUUGCUCCUUUAUUUUCUUCUUAAAUUAUACCAAUGUUAAUUUUUUGAAAAUUGAAGAUACAGUUUGCUAAGCCUUUAAAGAGCAUAUUUUAUUCCAAAAAUUUUAAAGCUUAAGUUUUGUUCCUGGCUAGGAAGCUCAAAGUUUAAUCAUUUAUAUGUAUUUUGUGUGGAACAAUUGAUCUUUAAUUAACUUUGGAAAAAUUAUGAGAAUUGCUUCUUAUUCAUAAAAAGAUUAAAUUUUUAGGUCAUUCUUAAUUAUAAGUGACAACAAAGUCCUGUCACAGAAUUUAUAUUAUCCUUUAAGAUGAUCUCUCUUUGAUGUUCGCAGCUCUAAAGAAGAUGGACAGAACAUUAAUCUUGUAUAAAACAGGGAAAAGCAUCAGCAGAUACAGCCGUUUUAAGAUUGGGGAAUCCUGGUGUGGUGGUGGGCGCCUGUAGUCCCAGCUACUUGGGAGGCUGAGGCAGGAGAAUGGCGUGAACCCGGGAGGGGAGCUUGCAGUGAGCUGAGAUCACACCACUGCACUCCAGCCUGGGCGACAAAGCGAGACUCUUGUCUCCAAAAACAAAAACAAAAAAAGACUGGGGAGUGCUGGAUAAGAAGCAGAGAUUAUUUAAGAGAAAAGGAAGGGGAGGCUGAACAACUUUCAAAUUCCGUUAUAUAUCAAAGGCUGUUAUUAUUUUACUCAACAUAUUUUAUGCAUUUUCAGAGAAAAAUAUACUUUUGAGAGUGACUUGCUAUUUGAAAUUGACCUAGUCAUAGACUCAUCUUAAUAUGGAAAAUUAAGAGGUGGUUGUGAUUACGUGUGCUUUCAUCAGUGAUUCUUUUGAGCAGCAUAUAAAUGGGGUUAGUACAGGAGCAGUUGAUUUGCAAACUAAACAAAAUUCUGUUCCCCCUAAAAAAACUUAAGAGAAACCCUUCAAAUAAAGAUAUUAAAAAGAUAAAAGAGAGCCAUGCUGCUUGAAUCAGGGUUUGAGGCCUCAGAGCCUCAUGCAGUCUGUGCUGGAGCCAGCAUGGACCCAGGUUACAAGAGCAGAUAAUGUACACCUCUUCUCAAUUAAGAACAUUAGAGUGGUAACUUGAAAUCAGCCAUCAUGGAACUAUCUACACCAUGGAAAUUGUCAAAUGCUACAAAUCAGGGAGAUUUUUUUUUUCCUCAUGCAAAGUGACCUCUGACCUUACCUCUCAUCAGGCUCUUCACCCACGUGACAACUUAAAAGGCACCUUAACAGGUGUAUAGAACUCAGAGCAUCACUGUGAGAAAACCAUUCAUGUCAGGCAGCAAUUGUUCUACAUAAAAUGUAGGAAUACUAAACCCUUUUUAGUAAAACAGAAUAAACCAAUGCUAAAUUAGAAAAUUCUGCUAACAGUCCCACUUUUCACUGUUUUUUAGCUCUCAAGAAUGACCAUUUGUUUCCUGUUCCAAAGCAGUGUAGAGUAAGCCAGGGUUAGCAACACACAUCUGCAACAGACUCCGUGAAAAAAGGGAGUAGUCAGGAUUUGAGAAAUAUUUCUAUAAUGUGGUUUCUUACAUCUGGUGUUGAGACCAGAGCAGCUCCUUUAAAUCAAAAAAUUGUCAGAUGAGUGAUCCUUAGAGAAUAAAAGAGGCAGGGUAGGAGUGACCUUUGGAACUCCUCCUGGAAAAGCGUACCUCCCUGAAGAUUCUGUCCCUCCACCCUUCAACCAGCAAAACACCAUGAAGUCAGCUCUCUGACUCAAGAGUGGCAGUGUCUGUCUCUUCGUUGCACUUCCAGGGUUUAAUAUCGUCUCAUGUAGCCGAACCACCUGCAGCCAAGUAAUCCAAAGUAUUCUCUCUUCUCUAAGGUUAAGAAUGUUGCUUCUGAAGUCCUCCCAAUGAAGGAUCAACUGUGAUUUUCCUACUUUAUUUCCCCCUACAGUAGUAUGGUUGCCCAGUCAACCCCAUAAAUAUAUGGCUGUGUUCUUAAAGAAAUGAGACUGGCAGAAAUCUCAUACCCUCGUUCUAAUGUUCCCUGUAGGUGCUUCUUUUAAAACACGGUUGGUAGCUCUGUUAGCAAACGACCCCACCAGCAAGCCCAAGUCAGUAGGAAGAAGCCUGCCAAUUGUGUCAUUAUAUUUUUCCAAUACUUGUGUCUGAAGAUAACAGUAAUUUUUUAUUCUUGUGUCCCCUACUGGGCACAUCAAAGUGCUUUUUGGAUAAAAUAUGCUCAAGUAAUGGAUACGUAUAUUAACAUAUAAGUAUAUUCUGAAAACUGACCUAAUGGACGUGAAGAUUAAGAGAACAUUUAGAAACUUCAGAAGGCAGCAGAUAUUUAUGAAUACCUGAGUAUAGGAAGCAAGUUUGGUAAGGACAAUUGCUGUUACUUUCCUAACAUGGCAUUCUUAUUGUUCCUAGCAUUUCAUAUCACACUUUAGUAAUCAGAGCACUUGAAAUGUCUUUACUCAAAAAAGGAGGGCUUAUCACUGCUUGAUAAACAAAUAGCUGGAAGAACUGAGGAAAAACAUUUAAAGGAGAAGUUUAACCAAAAUUACUUAAUGACUAUUUGCAGAGUAAAAUUAAUGUUCUAAAGAAUGAAACACCAGCCUAGUUAGUGGACAAAUAUUUUACGUUAGCACAUAGAUGUUAUGUUAUCUUGAAGUUUCAAUAAACAUGUUUUAUUAUUUUGCAAGGUGAGAGAAAAGUUAAUCACAUCUGAUUUAUUCUUGGCAGUAUGACACUGAGCAAACUCAGUGCAGACAGAGUCUACAAAGGGCAAUCAAUUUGUGUUUGUGUUACAUUAUUAGCACUCAUUGUCUGUCUUAUCAGCAGAGUUGAUGGCAUGAAUCAAUAGAAUAAUUAUUAUCAAAAAGAAUUGUUUGGUAAGUUUGAACAUAUACUAGGAGACACUUGUUUCUAGGUGAUAAAUUCAUGGGAGUAUUAAAAAAAGUCUUGUGGAGAAUAUUUUAAUGAAUGCAAAGUAACUUAUUUGAUUUGUUUAGAUUACCUAUUUAAUAACUAUGGUUUUGAGCAACCUUGACAUAAUUGUUAACCUGGAUUUCAUUUACCAUUAAGUAAAAGCCAGAGACUAGGCACUGGUCAUUUAAUAAGCUUGUCUCACAUCAAACUGUACUAACUGGAAAUUAUGUAAAUUGUUUAGUAAUAUAUGCUAACUUUGAUUUUUCCAGAACUCAGAAACGAGAAUGCUUGCAAAUACUUAAGGAGACAUUUCAGUUUAGCAAGCCAUCAUUAGCGGUGUUUUAUAAAGUUCUGGAACUAUUUAAAUUACCCAUGCAUUGCUCUUUCCAUGUUUUCAUGCAGUGAGCAAUGUAUUUCCCUUUUUCCACUUUGUGUGAAGAUUGAGGCUAGAAAACACCCAUAAUUCUAUAUUUUGCAGAAGUAUGGAACACGUUCAUCAGCUUAGAACAACCUCAAAUUAAAUUUUUUGUCCUCAUUUUGGUCUUUGUUGUGAGCAGUUUGUAAAUGUGUAUUUAAAUAUAAUACUUUUUAAAAAAUAAAAACAUAUGAACUCCA